This 510-nucleotide ribosomal RNA is filed under the name uncultured bacterium. Its description in RNAcentral is "SSU rRNA". It matches the Rfam family "Bacterial small subunit ribosomal RNA", at positions 1 to 484 of the family's 1533-position model. The record is from RNAcentral.
UUCGGCUUAGAGUUUGAUCCUGGCUCAGAACCAACCGCUGGCGGCGUGCCUAACACAUGCAAGUCGUNCGAGAAAGUCUGCUUCGGCGGAUGAGUAAAGUGGCGCCCGGGUGAGUAACGCGUGGAUAAUCUGCCCUUUAGUUGGGGAUAACUCAUCGAAAGGUGGGCUAAUACCGAAUAAUACUGUUCCUUCUUCGGGAGGACAGUCAAAGGAGGCCUCUGUUUACAAGCUUUUGCUGGAGGAUGAGUCCGCGUACCAUUAGCUAGUUGGUAGGGUAAUGGCCUACCAAGGCGACGAUGGUUAGCUGGUCUGAGAGGAUGAUCAGCCACACUGGAACUGAGAUACGGUCCAGACUCCUACGGGAGGCAGCAGUGAGGAAUAUUGCGCAAUGGGGGAAACCCUGACGCAGCAACGCCGCGUGAGUGAGGAAGGUCUUCGGAUCGUAAAGCUCUGUCGGGUGGAAAGAAAUGUACGGGAGUUAAUAACUCUCAUACUUGACGGUACCGCCAA